CAGGCAGGAAGAGAGGGUGUUUGUGCCAUUGCAGGGAGGUGACACAGGAAGUAGACUUAGUCAGAGUCAGCAGUUCAGUUCCCUGAUGAUGAGCUGUCAGUCGCCCAGGCGUCCUCACACGUGAUGGACUAAAGUGAUUUCUUGCCGCUCUCCAAGGUCAGAGGUGCGUCUAAAGAAUGCGUUUCCUCGCCGUGAGGAAAAAAACCAACAUUUCCAGCAGUGAAGACAAGGCCAGUUUGUUGUGUGUUCUUGGCAGUAUUACCCUGCUGAGUUGUUUUUCAACAUAAAAACAAAGUUUGACAGAUUUGUCACUGAUUUAGGCAAGUGAUUUUAGACAAGUGAAGAUUGAAGAGGCACCCCUUUGCUCAAUGCUGCUAAAAUCUGUUGCACAGGAACACAACAGCCACAACAUUAGGUGCACUUGCACAGUCUGAUAACCUGCAUCAAAAUGUUACACCCUUUAAGAAGAUACUAAUUCAGUCUUGAUUGUCUCUACAGACACUGCAGGUUUAUUAUUGCGGUUGUAGUUUGUAAUGGUGUACUGUGCAUGUAUGUGUCGCUGCUCCGUGUGUGUUAAGUAGCAUCUGUGCUAAUGUCCAUUAGCCCGUCUGUGGUAUUUCAUGUUAUGUUAGCAUUAAGUUUUUGUUAGACAAAAUGAUGUAGCCUGGUUGACUAUUUAAAUAUACAAUGUUUAAUUCUCGUUUUAUGUGUCACUUUUACAGUUACAUAACUUCAACUGUGAGUGACAAAUGAACCACUUGAAGCAAUUGCAAGAGAGAGAGAGAGAGAGAGAGAGAACGGGCACUGUGGAAUACUUCAAAAACUGUGUUUAAGAGUGUUUUAACAAGUAAAAAUGUUUAAAGUGUAUGAGCCGGGGGGGGGGGGGGGGGGGCUAUUCAAAAAAUGUCUUCUGUCUUUCAUAUUUUUUUUAAAAUGUAUUGUGUGAUUAUUGUGCAAACAACAACUACACAUUUUGCGGCACUAGAAGUAUUUUCUUUUCUUUUCUAAGGCAGAAUCUUUACAUUUUUACAGCUCUUGCAGUGGGUCUUAUUAGAGCAGGUGUUCCUAAUGAAGUGUCCCCUGAUGGAGCACAUUAACAUCUUAUAAUCUUCUGGUCAACGUGUUUUCUACUUUCUCUUGAAGUGAAGAACAUCAGUUGUAGUUGACCUCUCCCCUCUUUCCCAAAGAGGUAUAGCCUUAACGGAGCCUGCAUAUGUCUGUGUGUGUCCUCUGUGACACAAGGUUGACGUAAUUCACUUUCACCUGUACAUGUCAAUCAAUGAGACGCCACUCGCAUUGCCUGAGGCUCCAUGACCUUCUCCUCCUCUCCCUCUCGCUCAAAGGCCUUGAAAAGUCUUGACAUACUCCUUGUGAACAUUCCUCUCUUCUCAGGUCGCAGAGACCCACAAGAGGGAUAAUGGAGAGAUUGACAGAACACAAAGGAAUUGGAGAAGAGGCAUGGUGGUCUAGUCGCCAGACGAGGAACUGGAGAGGCUGCGACAGCUGUUGUCCAUUGCAGAUGUUUGCUGGCCUUUGUAGCAAAGGCUCUCUGCUGUCCUGUUCUUGGUUCCAUAUGACACAAUGCUGUCAAUAUUUCGUAUGCAAUGUAAUUAAACACAAUAAAGAGUUUCAAGGUU
Molecule: long non-coding RNA, 1637 nt
Organism: Phyllopteryx taeniolatus (common seadragon)
Lineage: Eukaryota; Metazoa; Chordata; Actinopteri; Syngnathiformes; Syngnathidae
Exons: 2
Source: RefSeq, a predicted model, not a curated record